UAUUUGCCUGAGAACUACUGGCCACAGCUUAAAACUCAAAGGACUUGGCGGUACUUUAUAUCCAUCUAGAGGAGCCUGUUCUAUAAUCGAUAAACCCCGCUAUACCUCACCACCCCUUGCUAAUACAGCCUAUAUACCGCCAUCUUCAGCAAACCCUAAAAAGGAGCAAAAGUAAGCAAGAGAAUCACCAUAAAAACGUUAGGUCAAGGUGUAGCCAAUGAGGUGGGAAGCAAUGGGCUACAUUUUCUUACAAAGAACAUUACGCUACCCUUUAUGAAACUAAAGGACAAAGGAGGAUUUAGUAGUAAAUUAAGAAUAGAGAGCUUAAUUGAAUAGAGCAAUGAAGUACGUACACACCGCCCG
Molecule: ribosomal RNA, 363 nt
Filed under: Microtus subterraneus (Common pine vole)
Lineage: Eukaryota; Metazoa; Chordata; Mammalia; Rodentia; Cricetidae
Description: Terricola subterraneus (Common pine vole) partial 12S ribosomal RNA
Rfam family: Bacterial small subunit ribosomal RNA
Source: RNAcentral